Molecule: RNA transcript, 2890 nt
Organism: Carya illinoinensis
Lineage: Eukaryota; Viridiplantae; Streptophyta; Magnoliopsida; Fagales; Juglandaceae
Gene name: 4-hydroxy-3-methylbut-2-en-1-yl diphosphate synthase (ferredoxin), chloroplastic
Exons: 22
Source: RefSeq, a predicted model, not a curated record
GCUUUGUAUGGCCACGGAUAUGCUCUCGAACACGUUUUUGUCCUGUAAUUCUCCACCCAACCCAUCCUUUUCGCCUUAUUUUUCACAAAGCAAUACAAAUUCGCCCAAAAUUUUCUGAAAAUCCUUGCAAACAGUGGCCUCUGAAACUCCUUCCACCACCAGUUCCUCCCUCCAGACCCUUCCCUUUUAUUUUCAGUCAUCCCGAGCUCAAUAUAGAUAUAUAUUGGAACUUAAGGGAGGUCUGAUCGUAGUCCAGGUGGGCAAUACUGAGGUAGUUUGAACGGAUUUACAGGUGAAGCUUUGUGUCAGUGGAAAUGGCGACCGGAGCUGUACCGGCUUCCUUUACGUGUCUGAAGAGCAGGGACCCAAGCUUAGGUUUCACGAGAAGUAUGGAUUUUGUGAGAAUUUCUGAUAUGAAAAGGGUUAAGACUGGUAGAAGAAAGGUCUUGGUGAUACGCAAUUCAAAUCCCGGCUCAGAUAUUGUUGAACUUCAGGCUGCAUCGGAGGGGAGCCCUCUCUUGGUUCCUCGUCAAAAGUAUUGUGAAUCCAUUCACAAAACUGUCAGGAGGAAAACACGGACAGUGAUGGUUGGAAACGUGGCUCUUGGUAGUGAGCAUCCCAUACGGAUUCAAACAAUGACCACAACCGACACUAAAGAUGUUGCUGCAACAGUUGAAGAGGUAAUGAGAAUAGCAGACAAAGGAGCAGAUAUUGUUCGGAUAACAGUCCAAGGGAAGAGAGAAGCAGAUGCAUGUUUUGAAAUAAAGAACUCUCUUGUGCAGAAAAAUUACAAUAUACCUCUGGUGGCAGAUAUUCAUUUUGCUCCAUCCGUUGCGCUGCGUGUUGCAGACUGCUUUGACAAGAUUCGUGUCAACCCUGGAAAUUUUGCUGAUAGGCGGGCUCAGUUUGAGAAGCUAGAGUACACAGAGGAGGACUAUCAGAAAGAAUUAGAGCAUAUCGAGCAGGUUUUUAUUCCAUUGGUUGAGAAAUGUAAGAAGUAUGGAAGAGCAAUGCGGAUUGGUACCAACCAUGGGAGUCUUUCAGAUCGUAUAAUGAGCUACUAUGGGGAUUCUCCUAGGGGAAUGGUUGAAUCUGCAUUUGAGUUUGCAAGGAUAUGCCGGAAGUUGGACUUCCAUAAUUUCGUCUUUUCAAUGAAAGCAAGCAACCCAGUUGUCAUGGUCCAGGCAUACCGUCUACUUGUUGCAGAAAUGUAUGUCCAUGGCUGGGAUUAUCCGUUACACUUGGGAGUUACUGAAGCUGGAGAAGGUGAGGAUGGGCGGAUGAAAUCUGCAAUUGGCAUUGGGACCCUUCUUCAGGAUGGUCUAGGCGAUACGAUCAGGGUGUCUCUGACAGAACCACCGGAGGAGGAAAUAGAUCCCUGCCGAAGAUUGGCCAAUCUUGGUAUGAGAGCAGCUGAACUUCAGCGAGGAGUGGCACCAUUUGAAGAAAAGAACAGGCAUUAUUUUGAUUUCCAGCGCCGAUCUGGUCAAUUGCCAAUGCAGAAAGAGGGUGAGGAGGUGGAUUAUAGAGGUGUCCUGCACCGUGACGGUUCUGUCCUUAUGUCAGUUUCCCUGGAUCAAUUGAAGAUGCCAGAGCUCCUAUACAAGUCACUUGCAGCAAAACUUGUUGUUGGCAUGCCAUUUAAGGAUCUGGCAACAGUGGACUCAAUCUUAUUGAGAGAGCUUCCACCAGUAGAUGAUGAUGAUGGGCGGCUAGCUCUCAAAAGGUUGAUAGAUAUAAGCAUGGGGAUUAUAACUCCCUUGUCAGAGCAGCUAACAAAGCCAUUGCCCAAUUCCAUGGUUUUGGUAAACCUGAAGGAAUUAUCAACUGGUGCUUACAAGCUUUUGCCAGAAGGCACACGUUUGGUUGUGUCUGUACGUGGUGAUGAGCCCUAUGAAGAGCUAGAAAUCCUCAAAGAUAUAGAUGCUACCAUGCUUCUUCAUGAACUACCUCUUACAGAAGAAAAAAUCAGCAGAGUGCAUGCAGCAAGGAGGCUAUUUGAGUACCUAGCAGACAGUUCUCUGGACUUCCCUGUAAUUCACCAUAUUCAGUUCCCAAAAGGAAUUCACAGGGAUGACUUGGUCAUUGGUGCCGGUACCAAUGCGGGAGCCCUUCUUGUAGAUGGGCUAGGAGAUGGAGUCCUAUUAGAAGCCCCAGAUCAGGAUUUUGAUUUUCUUCGGAAUACAUCUUUCAAUUUACUACAAGGCUGUAGAAUGCGGAAUACAAAGACGGAGUACGUGUCAUGCCCAUCAUGUGGCAGAACUUUGUUUGAUCUUCAAGAAAUAAGUGCACAAAUACGAGAGAAGACAUCACACUUGCCUGGUGUUUCAAUUGCAAUAAUGGGUUGCAUUGUAAAUGGUCCGGGGGAGAUGGCUGAUGCAGAUUUUGGAUAUGUUGGUGGUGCUCCCGGAAAGAUUGACCUUUAUGUUGGGAAGACGGUGGUGAAGCGCGGAAUUGCGAUGGAGCAUGCAACUGAUGCCUUGAUCCAGCUUAUAAAGGAUCAUGGCCGCUGGGUCGACCCUCCUGCAGAAGAGUAAGAGCACUAGCAUAGGGAGUUCCGGCUUGCCAAUAGGAGUUAAGAGACUCUCAAAGAGUGUCUCAAUCAUGUUGCAUAGGUCCACUCCUCCUAAGUAAGGGACAAUACAUGAUAAACAGCAGCACAGAAUGGAGAUCUGAACAACAUAAACGUUGAAAUUGUGGGCAUAUGGAAGAAAGAAAAUAAAGGAAAAGUAAGAGAAAAUAAAAGGAAACUCCAACCGAAUUAUCUUCUGGUUAUUCGAGGUGGUCAAAUCCUCCUUACGGACUUAGCAGUGUAUUUAACAUAUUUGAGUUGAUCUCUGGUUCCCGGCAGCUAUAAUUUGAGAUGAUGAUAAUGUAACCCUUGCCGUUU